ACUCAAUAUUGACAAGUACUUGGCUCCUUACAGUACUUAUCUCUCACCCGCCUUGAUAUCUCAUUUGCGGUCAAUAAAUUAUCAUAAUUCAUGCAUCAACCAUCUACUAUACAUUGGUCUGCAGUUAAAAGAAUCUUACGAUAUCUUCACGGGACUCUCAAUCAUGGCCUCUUCUUCCGCAAACACUCUCCCCUUCAUCUCCAUGCUUUUGUUGAUGUUGAUUGGGCAAGGAAUUUUGAUGACAGAACAUCCAUAUUUGUAACACCCCUCAAUUCCGAAUGUUCGUAUAAAUUUUUGGUGAUAAUGUAAGCAUCUAUUUUAAUUGACAAAAGAAAUAGAGUAUGAAUCAGAGGUAACUUAUUUUUAAGAUUUGGGAGAUCUGUUCAAAAAAAAAAAAAAAAAAAAAAAAGAAAGAAUCUGAGGACCUAUAUGUAAACCCUAAGGACCUAAUCGUGAAUAUGAUAAAAACAAGGACUAAACUGCAAAAUGCACCAAAUGACAAAUUCCACCGCUUAAGCCUCUCUGCCUUCGUUGUUAAGGAAGCAGAGGAGGCAGCUCGUGGGUGAUCAGGGAAAGAAAAGAAGAAGAAGAAGAAGAAGAAGAAGAAGGAGAAGAGAAAGAAAAUUUGGGGCUUUUAGGGUUUUUGCUUUAAUCUUGUUACUUCGGGUCAAAAUUUGCAAAGGAUAGCGUAACUCUUGCUUAAAUGUUAAGAAUGGGCUGAGGCAGCGGAAAGUUUAGAAGACGUUGGGCAGAACUUUUGUUAGCAUAUAUGUAGUUGUGUAUAAGCUACCUUGCAUCUAAUGAAAUGUGACUAUGAAUCUAAACCUGUGGAUUUUGUGUAAGUUAAAGGAUCCCUCAUGCAUAGGGUUUUGGAAUGUUAAAUUAAAUUCGUGUAAUGAUAUGAACUUAUGGUAAAUCGAUGAUUGUGGUGACUGCAUAGAUUUCCCCACUUGUGGAUUUA
This is a long non-coding RNA of Musa acuminata AAA Group (dessert banana), 961 nucleotides long. RefSeq lists it as uncharacterized. The transcript is spliced from 2 exons. Lineage: Eukaryota; Viridiplantae; Streptophyta; Magnoliopsida; Zingiberales; Musaceae. The record is from RefSeq and is a predicted model, not a curated record.